AUUUUCAGUCCAUAACCUCACGCACAUAUUCUAAAUUAAGCAUCGGAAGGGCGACGAUGAUACACCUCGACACCUUUGUUUCAGGUACCGGAAGAACACGUUCGUGCUCGCCACCAGUCGUCCUGCUUGGAAUUGCUCAGAUACAAUUUUUGGUAGCAUCAAAUAUAAUUUAGAGUACCAUUGGAGAUGCUCUAAUGACGCAAAGGAAAACACGACCAUAAUUAUCAUGUAGAAGAUUGAUUUGAAUAUGCUAAAAGUUUAUUGUUCUUCAAUUUCAUUUCUAAAGUUACGAUCAACUCAAAUCUAUUUAUUUGAAAGUAUAAUUUCUCCAUCGUCGUAAAAUGGAGGGGUUUUCUUUUUCUUUUUUUUUUUUUUUUUUUUUUUUUUUUUUUUUAUUUAAAGAGAAACAUGUAUCCUAGAGAUAACUUCUUUAUCUCCAACGUCUAAAAUAACAGUUCAACAUUGACUUGAAAAAGAUAAAGCGUUGAAUUGUGAGGCAUAAUUAAUUGCACGCGGCUUGUAAUAUUCCAAGAAUUUACUGUACUCAAU
This 549-nucleotide long non-coding RNA is filed under the name Olea europaea subsp. europaea. The record is from RNAcentral. Lineage: Eukaryota; Viridiplantae; Streptophyta; Magnoliopsida; Lamiales; Oleaceae.